GCUAAGGGGUGCUAUACUGCAGUCGAGCGGACAGAUGGGAGCUUGCUCCCUGAUGUUAGCGGCGGACGGGUGAGUAACACGUGGGUAACCUGCCUGUAAGACUGGGAUAACUCCGGGAAACCGGGGCUAAUACCGGAUGCUUGUUUGAACCGCAUGGUUCAAACAUAAAAGGUGGCUUCGGCUACCACUUACAGAUGGACCCGCGGCGCAUUAGCUAGUUGGUGAGGUAAUGGCUCACCAAGGCAACGAUGCGUAGCCGACCUGAGAGGGUGAUCGGCCACACUGGGACUGAGACACGGCCCAGACUCCUACGGGAGGCAGCAGUAGGGAAUCUUCCGCAAUGGACGAAAGUCUGACGGAGCAACGCCGCGUGAGUGAUGAAGGUUUCGGAUCGUAAAGCUCUGUUGUUAGGGAAGAACAAGUACCGUUCGAAUAGGGCGGUACCUUGACGGUACCUAACCAGAAAGCCACGGCUAACUACGUGCCAGCAGCCGCGGUAAUACGUAGGUGGCAAGCGUUGUCCGGAAUUAUUGGGCGUAAAGGGCUCGCAGGCGGUUUCUUAAGUCUGAUGUGAAAGCCCCCGGCUCAACCGGGGAGGGUCAUUGGAAACUGGGGAACUUGAGUGCAGAAGAGGAGAGUGGAAUUCCACGUGUAGCGGUGAAAUGCGUAGAGAUGUGGAGGAACACCAGUGGCGAAGCGACUCUCUGGUCUGUAACUGACGCUGAGGAGCGAAAGCGUGGGGAGCGAACAGGAUUAGAUACCCUGGUAGUCCACGCCGUAACGAUGAGUGCUAGUGUUAGGGGGUUUCCGCCCCUUAGUGCUGCAGCUACGCAUAGCACUCGCUGGGGAGUACGGUCGCAGACUGAACUCAAGGAUGACGGGGCCGCACAGCGUGAGCAUGUGUUUAUCGAGCACGCGAGACUAACAGUCUGACAUCUCUGACAUCCUAGAGAUAGACGUCCAUCGGGGCAGAUGAAGUGGUGCAUGGUUGUCGUCAGCUCUGUCUGGAAUGUAGCUAAGUCCGCACGAGGCACUGACUAGUGCAGCAUCA
This 1051-nucleotide ribosomal RNA is filed under the name Bacillus subtilis. Its description in RNAcentral is "bacterial SSU rRNA". It matches the Rfam family "Bacterial small subunit ribosomal RNA", at positions 35 to 1123 of the family's 1533-position model. The record is from RNAcentral. Lineage: Bacteria; Bacillati; Bacillota; Bacilli; Caryophanales; Bacillaceae.